This 654-nucleotide small RNA is filed under the name Pongo abelii (Sumatran orangutan). RNAcentral's name for it is "retained intron". Lineage: Eukaryota; Metazoa; Chordata; Mammalia; Primates; Hominidae. The record is from RNAcentral.
CGCCGGCCCCGCCCCCGCCGUUCGCGCUCUGACCAGCCCGCAGAGCCAGCCCCCGACCCCGGGCCACCCGGGCCCCCGGGUUCCGCUGGCAGUCUCGCCACCACCGCGUGGGUGCCCAAUUACCUGCCCUCGGUGAGCUCAGCCAUCGGUGGGGAGGUGCCCCAGCGCUACGUGUGGCGUUUCUGCAUCGGCCUGCACUCGGCGCCUCGCUUCUUGGUGGCCUUCGCCUACUGGAACCACUACCUCAGCUGUACCUCCCCGUGUUCCUGCUAUCGCCCGCUCUGCCGCCUCAACUUCGGCCUCAAUGUCGUGGAGAACCUCGCGUUGCUAGUGCUCACUUAUGUCUCCUCCUCUGAGGACUUCAGUGGGUGCCCGGAUGAGGGAGGAGUGGGGAAGGGUUCCCUGAGGGGACGGGCCUGCCCCUACCACUUUCGGACCUUCCUACUUAGUGGUGUGGGCACUCCCUGCAAUGUGGCUCCCAAUCCUCUUUCCCUCCAGCCGUCCAUGAAAAUGCUUUCAUUGUGUUCAUUGCCUCAUCCCUCGGGCACAUGCUCCUCACCUGCAUUCUCUGGCGGUUGACCAAGAAGCACACAGUAAGUCAGGAGGAUCGCAAGUCCUACAGCUGGAAACAGCGGCUCUUCAUCAUCAACUUCA